Molecule: ribosomal RNA, 495 nt
Filed under: uncultured bacterium
Lineage: Bacteria
Description: partial 16S ribosomal RNA
Rfam family: Bacterial small subunit ribosomal RNA
Source: RNAcentral
GACGAACGCUGGCGGCGUGCCUAAUACAUGCAAGUCGAACGCUGAAGGAGGAGCUUGCUCUUCUGGAUGAGUUGCGAACGGGUGAGUAACGCGUAGGUAACCUGCCUGGUAGCGGGGGAUAACUAUUGGAAACGAUAGCUAAUACCGCAUAACAGUAGAUGUUGCAUGACAUUUGCUUAAAAGGUGCAAUUGCAUCACUACCAGAUGGACCUGCGUUGUAUUAGCUAGUUGGUGGGGUAACGGCUCACCAAGGCGACGAUACAUAGCCGACCUGAGAGGGGGAUCGGCCACACUGGGACUGAGACACGGCCCAGACUCCUUAGGGAGGCAGCAGUAGGGAAACUUCGCGAAAGGAGGGAAGGCUGAACGGGCAACGGCGCGGGAGGGAAGGAGGGUCUCGGAUCGUAAAGAUCUGUUGUAAGAGAAGAAAGAGUGUGGGAGUGGACAGUGCACACUGUGACGGUAUCUUACCAGAAAGGGACGGCUAACUACGUG